AUUAUGAAGUCAAAGAGUGCCAGGACCUCACAGACCAUGGCCAGGGAGGACCUGUACCAUGUCCAAAUAUGGGCAUGAGAGGGGUGGGCAGCAUUUUGGCGUCAGCAGUUGCCUGUGUCAUAGUCAAGGAGGAUGGCUACCCUCUUGAGCAUUCAGUCAUUCAUUCAACUUAGGUGCUAGUGAGCACCUGCCACACACGCCUGCUUCUGGGCUAGGCCCUGAUAGAUAAUCCGAGGCCAGGCAGGAGAGCACCAUCCCUAUUUCUUUCCUUGGAGCUGAGACACUGCGGGAAGACUUUUCCUUCAGCAUGAGGCCAGAACACAGGCCUCUGCUGGCAAAGGGCUCUGGCACAGAGCUACAGGCCGGCCUCUUUUUCUCCUUUACUUUGUUCCUUCCUUCCUCUUCUUUUUACCAUGAAUAUUAAUUCCUGCUGUUUCCAAGUUCA
Long non-coding RNA from Peromyscus eremicus (cactus mouse), 445 nucleotides. RefSeq lists it as uncharacterized. NCBI's taxonomy places the organism in Eukaryota, Metazoa, Chordata, Mammalia, Rodentia, Cricetidae. The record is from RefSeq and is a predicted model, not a curated record. The transcript has 2 exons.